This 478-nucleotide ribosomal RNA is filed under the name uncultured bacterium. RNAcentral describes it as "partial 16S ribosomal RNA". It matches the Rfam family "Bacterial small subunit ribosomal RNA", at positions 28 to 507 of the family's 1533-position model. The record is from RNAcentral.
GAUGAACGCUGGCGGCGUGCUUAACACAUGCAAGUCGAACGAGAAAUGGAGACGGAACCCUUCGGGCGGAAGGCUUCAUUUCGAGUGGCGGACGGGUGAGUAACGCGUGGGUAACCUGCCUCAUACAGGGGGAUAACAGUUGGAAACGACUGUUAAUACCGCAUCAGACCACAGCACCGCAUGGUGCGGGGGUAAAAACUCCGGUGGUAUGAGAUGGACCCGCGUUCGAUUAGCCAGUUGGCGGGGUAACGGCCCACCAAAGCGACGAUCGAUAGCCGAUCUGAGAGGAUGACCGGCCACAUUGGGACUGAGACACGGCCCAAACUCCUACGGGAGGCAGCAGUGGGGAAUAUUGCACAAUGGGGGAAACCCUGAUGCAGCGACGCCGCGUGAGUGAAGAAGUACUUCGGUAUGUAAAGCUCUAUCAGCAGGGAAGAAAAUGACGGUACCUGAGUAAGAAGCCCCGGCUAACUACGUG